AGUGAGCGCUGGCGGCGUGCUUAACACAUGCAAGUCGAACGAGAACGGAAUAUAGCUUGCUAUAUUUGUCAGCUAAGUGGCGCACGGGUGAGUAAUGUAUAGAUAACCUGCCCUUAAGAAAGGAAUAACAGUUGGAAACGUCUGCUAAUGCCCUAUAUGCCUUUAAUACAUAAGUAUGCAAGGGAAACGCUUUAGUGCUUAAGGAUGGGUCUGUAUGGUAUCAGCUUGUUGGUGAGGUAAUGGCUCACCAAGGCUAUGACGCCUAACUGGUUUGAGAGGAUGAUCAGUCACACUGGAACUGAGACACGGUCCAGACUCCUACGGGAGGCAGCAGUGGGGAAUAUUGCACAAUGGACGAAAGUCUGAUGCAGCAACGCCGCGUGGAGGAUGACACAUUUCGGUGCGUAAACUCCUUUUAUAUAGGAAGAUAAUGACGGUACUAUAUGAAUAAGCACCGGCUAACUCCGUGCCAGCCGCCGCGGUAA
This 485-nucleotide ribosomal RNA is filed under the name uncultured bacterium. Its description in RNAcentral is "partial 16S ribosomal RNA". It matches the Rfam family "Bacterial small subunit ribosomal RNA", at positions 29 to 523 of the family's 1533-position model. The record is from RNAcentral.